Molecule: long non-coding RNA, 301 nt
Organism: Oreochromis aureus
Lineage: Eukaryota; Metazoa; Chordata; Actinopteri; Cichliformes; Cichlidae
Source: Ensembl
CUGACGCCUUUAAAGGACCACCUCAUUGCAAAGAUGGCCUUGGAUGCAACUUACAUCAGAGUAAUGACCGCUGGAGGCCAGGAAUUGGAGACUCAGCUUCGCGCCGUUGAUACACCCGUAGCCAGCCAGGCCCCUGUAGCUGGUGCAGCUGAAGAUAACGCAGGCCCCGCUAGCUGUUCCCCGGCAGACCCCAAGCAGCUGGGGAAAGAAGGCGGAUGGGUGACGGUGAGGAGGAAGCAUAGUCUUAAACAGAAGCCCCAGCAUGUCUUUAUCCUGUGUUCCUUCUCUCACCCCAACCGGU